This is a long non-coding RNA of Nycticebus coucang (slow loris), 200 nucleotides long. RefSeq lists it as uncharacterized. The transcript has 3 exons. The record is from RefSeq and is a predicted model, not a curated record. NCBI's taxonomy places the organism in Eukaryota, Metazoa, Chordata, Mammalia, Primates, Lorisidae.
AAUGAGCAGUGCAAAGUCAGAUGUCCAUGCACCUCUGAGUCUCUUUACAACUGGAGCACAACGUUUUUUAGGUGCCCCUGUUGCCUAAGAAUGACUGAUGGAAUGAAAGCAGAGCCCUUUCUUGAACAAAUUGAUGUGGUUCCCGGGAUGGUGAUAAUGUAACUAACAGAGCAAAACAGAUGGUUACCAUAUAUGGAAUA